Molecule: ribosomal RNA, 492 nt
Filed under: uncultured bacterium
Lineage: Bacteria
Description: partial 16S ribosomal RNA
Rfam family: Bacterial small subunit ribosomal RNA
Source: RNAcentral
AGUGAACGCUGGCGGUAGGCCUAACACAUGCAAGUCGAACGGCAGCACAGUAAGAGCUUGCGCUUACGGGUGGCGAGUGGCGGACGGGUGAGGAAUAAAUCGGAAUCUACUUUUUCGUGGGGGAUAACGUAGGGAAACUUACGCUAAUACCGCAUACGACCUACGGGUGAAAGCAGGGGAUCUUCGGACCUUGCGCGAUUGAAUGAGCCGAUGUCGGAUUAGCUAGUUUGCGGGGUAAAGGCCCACCAAGGCGACGAUCCGUAGCUGGUCUGAGAGGUUGAUCAGCCACACUGGAACUGAGACACGGUCCAGACUCCUACGGCAGGCAGCGGUGGCGAAUAUUGGACCAUGGGCGCAAGCCUGCUCCAGCCAUACCGCGUGGGUGAAGAAGGCCUUCGGGUUGUAAAGCCCUUUUGUUGGGAAAGAAAAGCAGCAGGUUAAUACCCCGCUGUUCUGACGGUACCCAAAGAAUAAGCACCGGCUAACUUCGUG